AUGGAUGCACCACAUAACAGAGGAACUGAUCCCCCAUGCCUUUCUGGAAGGCAGCUGAACAUUGCCCUUACCAUACAGAUGAUCCUGUUGCUUCCCUUAAGAGUACAAACACACCAGGGAACACAAAUGGAGAAAAGUCGUUCUGCAUCAGGACAGGCUCUUCUUCCCCUCACGCAGUGGAAAUUCAUCAGCUUCAUUCAAAAGAGUUGCAUCAGGUGGGAGAACAGCACAGCCCCUGAAGGUCAGUGGGGCAACAUCAGAGCAACCUGGGCACUUCAGAAAUGUCACUGCUACACAUUUCCCACUACUGACAGAGCAGAUUUGGGUUGGGCACCCCAGGGAACACACUGA
Molecule: long non-coding RNA, 351 nt
Filed under: Anser cygnoides (Swan goose)
Lineage: Eukaryota; Metazoa; Chordata; Aves; Anseriformes; Anatidae
Description: lncRNA (ENSACDG00005018486.1)
Source: RNAcentral